CAAUUAUGAGGCUAAUGUUGGACAUUUUCAGCAUCAAUAUAAUGUUCACUAUAGAAGGCGUACACUUUCAUGUCGCCGACCGUGACCUUAAAAAAUUUUACUUAAAAACAUCACAAUUUAUCGCGGUUUUUGAAAGCAAUAUAAGGGCAACGCUGGCUUUUUUUAAGGCACCGACUACUUCGACAAAUAUGGGAUUACACUGAGGUUUAGCAUGUAUGUCUGGGUCAUGUUUUGGUUUGAAAAAUCUGAUUAUUUUAAAGAGGCCAGAGGGAAUAGCCCUGUCUCUGUUAAGCCCGUCAGGGGUACGGCAGGACAACAACAACCAAUUAAACUAGCCCGCCUAUAUUCCUCCCAAAUGCUUGACGCACAGACAGUAGUGUCAAUCAUCGGCACAAUAAGAAACGUAUGCGAAAAUCAUCACACCAAUUCACUUUGGAACGAGAAAUUUUGAGGCAGUCUGUGAUACGAGUUAUAUGGAUCGUCUAGAACAAUCCCAAUGAGAUGCGAAGUGUGUAAUUAUGAAAACAUCAAGGCAGACCACAAACAAGCGAACGGCGACAUCAAAGGCCUCCAUCAAUUUCGCCACUUGGGCAAUUAACGCGUAUUUCAUGUAUUAACGACUAAGGAAUAUUGAUUAAUAUAUCGUGUCGAUGUCUGGCUUGGAUCGUUUUGAAUAUCUGAGGCGAGUUUAGAGCGAAAUGGUUUAUAAGUUAACGACGGUGAAAGAGCGCUUGUCGUUGGCCGCGUUCAAAUGCCGAUUUCCCUUCGUUACUGUGAUUGUAGCUCGCGCCAAGUGCCGUUGUUAGCCACAUAAGAACGCUGGCGCCAUCAAUUCGCUUCCAGCUAAGAUGCUCGGAUUGUGCGAAUUUAAUAAUCGCCACUCACACAAAAACCUUUGGAAAUUGAACAAAAGUGCCGGCGUUUCGGGCCUUUUAAGCUUAAUGGCGAUAAUAUAAGCCAAUGGCUUCACAAACAAUCGUUGAACAAAUCAGGAACACGGCUUCCGAAACGAGGCGGUCCAAAAUCUGACAUUUUCCUUUUAAAUCGACAAGUGAACGCAAGCAAGCACUCGAAAGGCUAUUUCAUAGUCAUGCAACGAUUUUCUUUAUGCUAAUUUCGAUCACUCCACGGGCUGAAUUUGUCAAUUUUAUAUCGAGUUAUACGGAGUAUAAGCUGGCUUUGCUAAAAUCCAUUUCCAAGUCAGUAACUUCAUGUAAAGCUAUUAUAUAGGACAGAACGAACAGACUCAGAAUGGAAGUUCUGAAACUAGAGAUUUGAGGCAUAUAUAAUAUGAGAGAAAAUUCUGUUCUAAUUCUGUUUCAUCCGACGCAAUUAUUUAUACUAUAGUCUAUAUCAAAUCAAAAAAUGUGUGAAGACUGCUUGCUU
Non-coding RNA from Paramuricea clavata, 1386 nucleotides. NCBI's taxonomy places the organism in Eukaryota, Metazoa, Cnidaria, Anthozoa, Malacalcyonacea, Plexauridae. The record is from the annotation of a GenBank genome assembly.